CCCCUCCCAUGUUUGUUCACAGAUUCAGCAAUUUGUCUUUUACUUUGGAGGUAAUGGCCAGUGGACUCCUAAAUAUUUCACUGUACUAGCAGGUCCUGAGUCUUUGUAGAGUUCAUCUUCCACCCUUUGGAGCAUGUAUCUAACCAAGGCUUCUAGCAUACUGGCCACCUCUUCCUCUUUUGUCCAGUCAUCAUGAUUUUAUUGAUGUGAUGAAUCAGGGUGGUGUUCUGAGGGACUCAUAGGUGAUUCAGACCUUUUCAGACAAAAUUAUGGCAAAGGGUAAGAGUGUUACCAUAGCCCCAAGACAAAAUCGGAGAUCAAUAUUAUUGUCUAUUUCAUCUGAAUUCAAACCUUUUCUGAUCUUCUUUCCUAAUUGGAAUGGAAAAGAAUAUGUUGUCCAAAUCAAUGGCUAAAAACUAGGUACCUGAAGUUUUAUUAAUCUGCUUAGCACAGUAUCACAUCUGGCACAGUAACUAUAAUCAUCAGGUUUACUACUUGAUUAAGUCUGUAAUAGUACACAGUUAUUCUCCAGGACCCAGCUGGUUUCUGCACGGACCACAUUGGUCAUCAUGAGUGAAGUCUUGAGCCACUGAGCCACUACCACCUUGUGCCAAAUACUAUCUGUGCCCUGCCUGCCAACCAGGAUGACAACCCUUCACCUGCCAGGUGGAGAGAGACAGCAGCAGGCUAACUAGUUGUCUGUUAAGAACAUCCAGAGCAGGACCAGAAUCUGGGCCAGGAACUGAGAGACAGAUUGGGACAACGGAACAAAUCUACCAGGGUAUGCUGGCCAACUUAGUCUUCUAUUAUGAUCAAGGAAGGAUGGCGCCUGAGAGGUCAUUACUAUGUGACUGGUCUUCAUAUAUUGCUUCUAUGUUUGAUUCUUCCUCCAGAAAUGUUUCAAUAGCAAACUCAAUGAGUUUACGUAGCCAGAAUCUUAGUCAAUAACCUACUCUGCAGUAUCUUAGGGCUGACUUUGUACAUAUGGAAGUCAGCCAGAUCUCAUGAGUGGAUCAUUAAGCUAGAAUUAUUUUCUUGGCACACGUUACAGUAAGGUAAUAUAUGACCUAGGCCUAAGGCAGGCCAUCAACCUGUCAAGAGUAAUGACCCCCAGGGGUAAGGCCUUGCUGUCUCCACCUCAAGGAUGGGUCUUCAAAGUGGAGACAAUAUAGUCCCUAUGGUUUCUACAUGCUUAAUGAGUCUGUUAUGUGAAUUAUAAAGAUAAUAUCUAUGGGGACUUUGAGCUCCUACAAUAAAAAUGUAUAAAUAUAAUCCAAGAAAUUCUGGUAGACAAACAUUGUAAUAAUGCAUAUCAGUCUUUGUAUCUCCAUUUAGUUUUUUUAAAACUUGGCUUGUGUCCAGAAGUAUGCACAGAUAUACAUAGCAAAUGCUCAGUGCUGAAUGUUUAGCUAAAUCCUGUGCUUCAAAGCAAGGAUGAAUAGAUUUUCAUCAGAGCUCAGGACCUGAACUGUAGGCUUCCCUCACAAUGAGAAGUAAAGCUAAGUAUAGGUGAAUCCUGAGUGGCACAUAUUCUAUGAGAGUUUUAUACAUAAUUUGAAUGAUUGAUAUGCUGCAUCUUUCAUUGAAAUGAUUGUCAACCAAUAUUAUUUCAAGUGUUAUUUCCAUGCUAUUUCUAGUUCUGUAUGUUUUACGUAAUUAUAAAUGGCUUCAUAUUUUCAUGUAACAUUGUAUGAUAUGAUUUGGGUUCUAACAGGUUAUCCUUGACACCAGUAUAGAAUACCCAGAAUUAAUUUAAGGUAUAUUAUCAAACCACUAAAAUUAGGAUGUCCAUGAAUUCUGAAGGAGAAAAUAUCAUUUAGAUUGUGUGUGUGUGUGUGUGUGUGUGCGCGUGUGUGUGUGUCCUCUAAGUUUUAAACAUGAGGUGGUUAUAUAAAGGGGACUUCUAAAUUGGGAGAGGAUGAAAAUGGGCUAAAUAUUUCAAACAAACUUCAGUGUGAAAUCAGUAGUAUAUUCAGUAGAGGUGACAGGGAAAAAAGCUGUGGAGGAGAAAAGAGAACAAGAAAAUCAGGAAGCAGUAAAAAUGAUGACUGAGGUCAGGUGGUAAUGGUAACAUCAAGAAACUUGAAUCUGAUGGAAAAAAACCACGGGUAGCUAUAAAAGGGGCAUUCGAAAUAGGAAAUGAUGUGAGAGGAGAAGAUAAUUUUAGUAUAGUUAAAGGAGGUAGCAGCUAUAGGUGUGAAGAGAACGGAUUAAUUUUAAAUGUGUCCCAGAAGUAAGAGAAAUAUUUUUUUGAGGAGUGGGGGAGGAACAAUGAGAUAAACCUGGUUGAGUGUUUUAUGGUUAUCUCAAGUAAGAGUCCACUUGGAGUAUUAUGUCCAUUUUUGGACACCAUACUUUCAUAGGCAUGUUGAUGAACCAGGUCAUUCAAGACACCAGGGUAGUGAGAAGUGUGUUAAUAGUGCUUCUACCAGAGAGUUAGAGUGACAUGGCAGCUGUCCUCAUAUCUAUCGAUCUGUCAUAAGGAAGAAAGAUCACAUGCCUCUGCAUUGUUUAAAAGAAAGAAACAGACCCAAAGAAAGUCAGGAGGCAGAUUUUGCUCAAUAUAAUGAUCUAACAAUUAGAUGUGCCCUGUAACAGAGUGCGCUAUUGUAAAGUAAUGUUCUCCCAUCUUUCCAAGUAUUCAAGCAGAGAAUAGUCAAUAAUACAACUAACGACUGGAAGGGUUUCUUUUAUUCUAAGGUACUAUCAGAUGGAGGAACAUGUAGUUUGUGGUCAGUGACCUCAGGUUCUCACAUUCACGGUGCUGCAUCCUGGUUUUCAUUUGGGGACUGUUUUCUGGCACUCCCGCCUGUCUGGAGGUGAGAUAUGCUUGUUAUGACAACCCUUCUGUCACAAUAAAUUGGCUGGUGCAUUCAGUGUCAUCUAUGGCUUUUUACUUCUAUUAAUUCAUUAAUUCCGGGCCCCCAAGCGAAAGUUUCCAAAGGCCUUUUUUCUUCUUUGUUAAUUAUAACAUGAUAUCAAUCAGCACCCAAGCAGAAACUAGAAGAGUAUUCAAACUAGGUAAUUUGAGGAGAGUUUAAUAAAGCAACAGCUUACAAAGAUGUGGACAGUGGCUUAAGGAAGCCACUAAAGGAUGGCACAGUCCUCCAGGCUUGUGAUCAGGGGAGUCAUUACCAUCCCCCAGCCUGAAGAUCAAGAGGCUGGAGCUAUUUCCAGACCCUGAAGAGGGUGGUUGUAUGGAGAGGACUAUCUGAAAGAAGAGGCUGUAGCCAACACAAGAAAGCCAGGGAAUAAAUAAUCCAUCCUCACUCUCCUGCUGUUGCCUCUCAAUGGCCAAACCCAACCAUGAGCUGGGCAUGAAGGGAGCUAGCUGACAGCUAUAUGGCUCAGCUUCCUGGGGCCCAGAGCAGAGUGGAGCUGAGAAGAGAGUGAAUCUGGAGGGGUUAAUGGAAGAAACCACAGAAAGCAAAUUCCUCCCUGAGAUACAGUUGGUGCUUAGGCAAUAUUUGUACUGACAGGAAUGUGGCCACAUAUUUUGGAAAAGCUCAGGGACUCAAUCCUCUGCUAGCUGCUUUGAGGCCAUGUCUGCCGAAGUCACUGUCCUCUACAGGGUUUUUUCCUCAUGUUCAGUGUUUAGUCCUUUCCACCUUCACGAAAACGAUGCCUACUUAAUAUACAGAAAGGAGGACAUACAGAAAUUUUUCAUCUUAAUUGGAUAUUACAGUUGCCCCACUUUGGAGCCAAGAAGAGCUGAAUAAAGCUGAGAAACACCUAAACAGAAAGGAGCUCUGGAGGGAAGCAUUAGAUAUGGCUCUUAACCUCAGGGGGCUUACAGUCCAAUCAGGAGACCCAAUGCAAAUGGAACAAUGAAUCAAGAUACUAUCUAACAGGACUAGACCAUGCCACCCAGUCAUUGGAACUUGGAUGUAAGUGGCUUCUACAACCAAGUGAGGCAGAGAAAUGGGCAGCAGUGAUGACUCUAUAAAGACUUUUGUCCUUUCAUUCAUUCAAGGUGGUGUACAACCCAAAGAUGAACACAUGACCCUUGUCCUCAAGCAGCUCAAUCUGUGAAAACUAUCAUAUGAGUUAAUGUGGUAACAGAAGCAUGCGCACAAAGUACUCUGGAACAACAGGCAGGGACCAUUUAGACCUGCUGCAGUGUGUGUGUCUGUGUCUGUUUAUCUAUGUAUUAUAUGCAGGCAGAUUGUGAAAAAAGACAAGUUUCACAGAGGAGAUGAUACAUGAUCUUUUCUAAUUCACUGAAGCAUACAGCUAUCAAAGGCCUGAGGACUCUUGAAAGAUGAGCAAAAUUUCAUCAUGCAGAGAAGGGAAGUGUAAAGACAGGAAACAGCAUGUGAAAGGCAUUCUAUUCUAUUUAAAUCUAGGAAUACUGUCUUUAGGAUGUUCUUGGCUGAUUAAAUCAGAUGCAUCAUCAUAUUAUACUAUCAUGAUUUACCAAUACUGGUUAUUGCCUAGAUUUUAUCCAUGGACUCUCCAUUGGCAUCAUUAGUGAUGAGAGCUGGAAGCUUGAGCACACCCUGCCAUAAAGUUGUUUGUAACAGAAGACAUAGUUUGUACUUUGUUUUCUCUGUUUCAGUUUUGGUUUCCACCUCUAAUUUGAUAUAUACCAGUUAUUAAUCUGGUUGAUUUGCUACAAAUGAAAAGUUUAAAAAAUUAAUGACAAUCUAUACAAAACUCACAUAAAACCAUUUGAGUCUCCCACUAGAUGGCACAGGAAGAAUAUGGCAUAUCACCUAAUUCUCAGGCUAGGCUAGAUAGAAAAUGUCUAUUCCUAUGAUCACAUGACUCUGACUACUUUCUCUUAAAAGUAAAUAUAAAUAACAUCUCUGUAAUUUUAUUUUUUCUUUAACAAUAAUUUAUCUUAAAGUAGACAGAAAAAUGCAUGUGGUUUAAAAUUCAUAGUAAAUAGGAGAAUAUUAUAAAAGUUUCUUAAGGCCAGGUGCAGUGGCUCAUGCCUGUAAUCUCAGCACUUUGGGGGUCCGAGGCAGGCGGACCAUGAGGUCAGGAGAUUGAGACCAUCCUGGGCAACAUGGUGAAACCUUGUCUCUACUAAAACUACAAAAAUUAGCUGGGCGUGGUAUGCUCCUGUAGUCCCAGCUACUUGGGAGGCUGAGGGAGGAGAAUCGCUUGAACCCGGGAGGUGGAGGUUGCAGUGAGCCGAGGUCGUGCCACUGCACUCCAGCCUGGCAACAGAGUGAGACUCUGUCUCAAAAAAAAAAGUUUCUCAAACCAUUUUUAACAGAUUAAAACAAUUCUUUUUUUAUCAAACUAUUUUUUUCAUUAAUUCUUAGUAGUCAAUAGUUCUGUUAUUGUGACCCUGGAAGACAAGGCACUGUCAUCUGUCUCCUACAGAUUUUAGAGCAAUUAAAAGUGAAGCAAUCCAUAUUCAUUGAUUAAGAGGGAACUAUCAUGUAACCUGGGUAAGUCAGUCCAUAUCACUUUAAGAACGCUAAACAGUAUUGCUCAAGGUUAAAAAAAAAAAAAAAGGAGAGAGAGAGAGAUCUAACACCAUUCUUUAACGCCUGGCCACUAAACUAAUGACCAUCAAUGACAGAACCUGCUUAAUCCCCAUAUAAUUAUCCAAUAUAUUGAAUCCUAAUUUUUUUUGCUCUUCACCCCAACCUUGCCCAAGUGCCAGUGUAGCUCUACUUUAAGAAUAUCAAUAGAAUGUGAUUUUUCACAAGCUGCCAUAAGUAAAUGGUGGUAAGCCAGAGUUAUAAUCUGAAAAUGCAGCUAGUUUUUUGGGGGGCACAUUAGGACUCAAACUUCCUAAAACUCCUACUCCUGAGUUACCUGGAGAAAAGCUACAGCAGAUGGGCAUCCAGUGCUUGGAAGGGCUGCUUGGUCCUCAAUACAGGGCCCAGUAAAUAUAUCUUUCAAUUAAACUCCAACCUUUGAUGUAACUGGUAUCGUGGUGCCACAAGGAUUCUGUUCAAUAUAUAUUUACUGAAUACCUUCUUUGUGCAACACUCUGUGCUGGACCCUGGGCUAGCUUAAACAACCUGAUUUGAUUCAUGGUGGGCAGCAGAUAAGAAGGCAGAAUUAGUUCACCCUCAUAAUGGUCUUUUACUGCAGCAAUGGCCAAUAAACCACCGAGUUUGCAACACCAGAACCCUAAGGGCACACUUAGCUUGAAUCAGAGUGUCUCCUGGCAAUCAUAACUGAUAUUCAAUCAGAGUUCCCACUGAGUAUAGAUGUACUACUUGACUCCAUUCCAAUAAGUGCAGCAAGCUGGAGCAGAAAAACUAAUCUUUGCUGGGUCUCUCAACGCAUGAUUUUUCCUACAUUGUGCAACCCUUAUAUGCCUUUCGUCAUUCAUUCCUAUCAGAAUCUCCUAGAGUGCUUAUUUUAAUGCAGAUUCCCAGGCCCAAUGUAGAUCACUGUAUCACAUCUCUGUGAUACAGGAGGCCAUAGUGAAAACACAAAUGAACCUGUUGCCAGCCAUCCAUGAGACCACCACGGAUGCCCCACACAUCGCCAGGGUGAUUUGAGGGCCUCAAGAUGUGAGUUCCUUAGCAUGGUUGGGGGCCAGAGACGCCACAGUUUGAGCUUUGGCAUUAAUGUGCUCUUCCUUUCUGUUGCUUAUCUUAGGUAGGAACCAGUUGACAAGUGUCCUCUCCCAGCACAAGGAACUGACUCUGGGCACUGAGUAUAGAUUUUACUUAAAAAAAUGUACAAUUUUACUUACAGAAAGUUACUCAGCUGGGAUGUUUCACUUCAUCAUUAAGGUUUUCUUGUUUUCUUCCUUCCUUCCCUUCCUUCCUUCCUUCCGUCCUUCCUUCCUUCCUUCUUUCCUCCCCUCUCCCUCCCUCCCUCUCUCUUCUUUCUUUUUCUUUCUUUCUUUCUCUUUCCUUCUUCUUUUUCUUUCUUCUUUCCUUUCUUUCUUCCUUCCUCCCUCCCUCCCUGCUUGCUUGCUUUCUUUCUCUCUCUCUCUUUCUUUCUUUCUUUUUUUUGUAAGAAACAGGGGUCUCUCUCCCCAGGCUGGAGUGAAGUGGCACACAAUCAUAGCUCACUGUGGCCUCAAACUCCUGGACUCAAGAGAUCUUCAUGCAGUCUUCCCAGUAACUGGGAUUACAGGCACGUGCUACUGCACCCAGCUUUCACCGUAUAAGUUAAUUGUUAACUUCACAUAAGUUUUAAUACCUGCAAAAAUUAUGUGACUCUUCCAGAUUCCAAUCUUUUCUAAUUUGCUAAAGCAUACAGCCAUCAGAAGUCAACAUGCAGAGAAGCACUAACACGGAGUCUCUGCAUGUCUUGAUAAAUGUUGCUUUGAUGCAGAAUUCAGUUUGGGCAACUUGUGUAGAAGGAUGGUCAGAAAGUAAUUUUCUGUUUGUUGGGGUGUGUGUCUGUGUGUGUGUGUGUAUGUAUGUAUGUAUGUAUGUAUAUGUAUAUGUGUAUGUAAAGAACACAGGUUCUGCAAUUAGUCCAGUGUUGUUGUUCUGGGAAUUUAAAUGUUUUCAUUCUCAAAGCAGUUCUGCUGAGUAGAAAUUUUCACGUUACCCCAUUAUACAGACUGAAAACCUGAAGCUUGAGUAGUUUGCCCAAGGUCACAUAGCAAGGAAGAUCACAAGGCAAAGGAAGAUCUUGAACCCUCUAAAGUUCACGAUGUUUCCAUUAUGUCAUGCUUGUAAAAAACAUGAAAAGAAAUGUUUAUAAUAAAAGAUAUUAAGUGAUAAAACUUCCUUAACAAUUUUCUCCUUUGCAAUAUCAGAAACCUCCAGCAGGCUGUACCCCUGAAUCAGUUUUCUAAUUGAAGCCAUUAAACAAUGAUUU
This 7755-nucleotide long non-coding RNA is filed under the name Homo sapiens (human). RNAcentral's name for it is "long non-coding RNA NONHSAT186092.1". Lineage: Eukaryota; Metazoa; Chordata; Mammalia; Primates; Hominidae. The record is from RNAcentral.